This 204-nucleotide ribosomal RNA is filed under the name Nicotiana attenuata. RNAcentral describes it as "rRNA SSU_rRNA_eukarya". It matches the Rfam family "Eukaryotic small subunit ribosomal RNA", at positions 1439 to 1648 of the family's 1831-position model. The record is from Rfam by way of RNAcentral. Lineage: Eukaryota; Viridiplantae; Streptophyta; Magnoliopsida; Solanales; Solanaceae.
GAAGUUGAUGAACCUGGUCAUUCAUAUAAUGCCCUGCCCCUCAUUUAACGCGCGCUACAUUGAUGUAUUCAACGAGUUUAUAGCCUUGGCCGACAGGCCCGGAUAAUCUUUGAAAUUUCAUCGUGAUGGGGAUAAAUCAUUGCAAUUGUUGGUCUUCAACGAGGAAUUCCUAGUAAGCGCGAGUCAUCAGCUCGCGUUGACUAC